CCUACGGGAGGCAGCAGUGGGGAAUAUUGGACAAUGGGCGCAAGCCUGAUCCAGCAAUGCCGCGUGUGUGAAGAAGGCCUGCGGGUUGUAAAGCACUUUAAGCAGGAAAGAAAGGCGGGAGGUUAAUACCCUUUUGCUGUGACGUUACCUGCAGAAUAAGCACCGGCUAACUCCGUGCCAGCAGCCGCGGUAAUACGGAGGGUGCGAGCGUUAAUCGGAAUUACUGGGCGUAAAGCGCGCGUAGGCGGUUUGCUAAGUCCGCUGUGAAAGCCCUGGGCUUAACCUGGGAACUGCAGUGGAUACUGGUGAGCUAGAGUAUGGUAGAGGGUAGUGGAAUUUCCGGUGUAGCAGUGAAAUGCGUAGAGAUCGGAAGGAACACCAGUGGCGAAGGCGGCUAUCUGGACCAAUACUGACGCUGAGGUGCGAAAGCGUGGGGAGCAAACAGGAUUAGAUACCCCAGUAGUC
Molecule: ribosomal RNA, 465 nt
Filed under: uncultured Gammaproteobacteria bacterium
Lineage: Bacteria; Pseudomonadati; Pseudomonadota; Gammaproteobacteria
Description: bacterial SSU rRNA
Rfam family: Bacterial small subunit ribosomal RNA
Source: RNAcentral